CCUUUAAUGAGUUCUUGUUUUCCUGACUGCAGCUCUCUUCAUUCUGCCAACCUUUUCCAACUCCAUGAUGAUCCUGCAGGUUUCAGGGGGCCCCUGGACAGUGGCUCUGACAGCAUUACUGAUGGUGCUGCUCAUAUCUGUGGUCCAGAGCAGGGCCACUCCAGGUAAGAGCAGAGCUGCUAUUCCUGGAGGGUCUGGCUCAGGGAACAAUUCCUAGGGGACUUUCUCUUUAUGGAACCAGACUCUGAGACAGCAUGUGGGGCUCCUGCCACGGCCUAGUGUCCUUCUAUCACAGCUGGAGAAUCAAACUCACCUCCUAUAGGAUAGGUUGCUAUCCACCAGGUCUAUUCUCUCUCCAGGAACAUGGACACAGUAAAUAAGGGGAGGUGCUCAGGGGUCAAGUUGCUUGUCUAUGGGGAAAUGGGGCCAAGAGGUUCAGGAUAACCUUGGACAGACAAGGUUUCAGAGAGAGAGGUUGGCAAGUGCAGACUCCUGGGUGUGCUCACAUCUGCAUCCAACCUUGAGGGGACUCAGGCAGAGAGCCCUUAGCUGGUGUGUCCAGACUACAAGUAUCACUGAGGAUUCAGUGCUCACAGAGAAUGCCUCUCAUUCUCCAGGGUGGAGCAGGAGCCAAUGCUCCCUGGACAAUGAAGGCAAGAUGGGAGGGAGGGGGACAGGUUCGAGCCCCUAAAGGCACUCUUGUUGAAGGUAUUUCUCCCAGCCUCCCCAGAACUUGGUUAGAGUAUUAGGAUGGGUUGAAACCUGUCAGAAGAAUGAGAUAAGGAUGUGUGAGUACGUGAAAGAGAUUGAGUGUAGGUUAUCAGACAGCCAAGAAAGCAGUAACCAAGGGAAAAACCUCUGUCUCCUGCUGUCUCCUUGUGGCUGGUGUAAUAUUAUGGCUUCUAUGACCCAUUGUUUUUCUCUCAGGAUGUUCUUACUUUUCUGGUCCAAAUUUACACCAACACCCUGAGAGGAAGGACUGCAGAGUAGGUGUCUUAGUUUUCCACUGACUUCCACCUUUCUGCAUAGACCCUCCCUCUGAGACCCUUCCACAUCCACCUAGGACACCCCUAGAAAGUGCUGUUCUCAUGUCACCUCCUCAUUUUCCAGGGUAACAGUAUUCGAAUCUCCUGAGGACAGCCCCUCAAACCCCAAAGCCCCUCACCUAUUACCUCAGGUUCAUUGUCCGGGAAAGGGUGGACAAACUGCACUUGUAGUCACAGGGGUGCUGAGAACUAACCAGCAGAAUGGCUCAGCCCUGGGAACUGGAGAGGGGUGAGGUUGGGGAGAGAGGAGGCUGGAGCAGCGCUGGUGACACUGAACAGUGUCCAGCAGGAGGUCCAUAGCAACAGUGUCCAUAGGCAGAGUUGUUUGUAGGAUGAGGGGUGGUGUUGGGAAACGCCAUGGAAACCCUCAAGGUGCGGGGUAGCAGAAAGCACAGGAGGGAGCGUGAUGAUGGUGGGCAGUGAACAGGUGGACGGGCAAAGACUGGGUUGAGGUUGGUAGGGGAAAUGAGAUGAGGCAGUGGAGCCAUGUGACAGGAACCGAGGGUGGGUUACCAGAGCUCCCCGUGUAGAAUGAAUGUCCAAUCAAAACCUGCUGGAGGGAGAGCUGGAGCCAUAGGGGAGUGGGUAGAGUGGGCAGGGCCAAUUCCACAAUUCCCUGCAUGCUCUUCCAACUCCACACACAUCUCCAUCCUCAGAGCACAAGAGGAAAGGCACAAGGAGCCAGGCUGUGGCACUCCUGGAGGCAACACCCUUUUGUCUCUGACAAGCUUUAAAAUGGGCUUUUUACAGCUGAGUUUCUUACCUCACCCCACCCACUACCCCAAGCAUUAGGGCCACACUCCCGAGUCCUCCUGUCACACCAGCUGGGCACUUGCAGAAGCUCAUUGUGCAUUUGAGUCUUUGGGUACUCACUCUUCUGUUAAUCUAACUCCUCAAAUAAAAUCCCUAGCACAAAAGAGAGGGGGGAAGAUCCAGUCAGCAAACAGCCAACAAACACUUUUCAACCAUUAAGAUCUGGUGCCCAUGGAAAGUCUUCUUGAGGUUUUCCAGUAGCUCAUAAGCUGAUCCAGUUCCUCUUUCAUAUGCAUUUAUUUAGAAUUUUGCUCCUAUUCAAACAGGUCACACAGUGAAAAGAGGAAGGGAACUAAGAUAGAUUGAGCAGUAACAGAUACAAUACUAUGUAUUUGACAUAUGUGAGCUCAUUUGGUUCUCACAGCAGUUUUGCAAGGUAAAUAGUAUUAUUACUAUUUUGCCUUUCAAGAAAUGGAGAGUUAGAAGGUUGUUUCUUGUCCAAGAUAACUUAGUAAUCAGUCGUAGUGCAAGAACUGGAAUCCCUACCUGUGACAUGUUCCUUUUCUUACCCAUAUGGACUCCAUUAUAUCUUUCUGCAAUUAUAUUUUAAUAUAACCUAUUCUGAGUGAGAGAUGAAUUCACUCAGAUCAUUGGUUUUCAAAUUGUGCUCUGGGUAACUCAAUUGUCAAAGAUUCCGCAAACAGGAUAAAGUUUUCCAUAUACAAAAAAAAAAUGAAGUUUCAAAUUCCACCAUAUACUCAUCACUUAUAUCUGCUUUGCAGGUAAAAUUCCCUUUAAAAAGUUAAAUGUUGCAAAAGAAAGUUUUGAAAUUCUUACUCUUGACUAAAACAUGUUCUCUUAUUGGUGAAUGAGGAAGAGGAACAAAGACUAACAAAUUAAAAUGAGAGGAUACACACUCAGAGUGGGGCACUUGAAUAGGGAGGGGCAGACUAAAGGGGCUGGGGGCGAUGGGCCUGGGUGUUUAGGGGGCUGGAGCCCAAGGCACUAGGAGAAGAGGCGGGUUAAGAUAUCUAAAGUCCUGGGAUCUUGCCUUAGAGAUGACACUGGAAACUACAGGCCGAGUCUACGGUGCCGCUGUGCCCAGCCCCACCCCUUCUCUACUGUCCUCUGCCACCAGCUGUGCAUCUUCUAUGAGGGGUGAGGUUAAUAAACGUGAGUUGCUAAUUUGUAGAACAUGAAACAGGUGUCCAAAACAAACCUUAAUUUGCUGUGUGCAAAUCACAGCACCUUAAUUUCCCCACUGUGACCAGGAACAGAUCAGGUCUGAAGAGGCUCAGACAUGUGCUGGGUCAUUGCUACUUCUGUAUACACAUGCACCUGCCGGACACUGCCCAUGGUGCUCCCUAGGAAGAACUGCAGGUGGAAAAGGCUGCCACAUUUCUUUAUGUAAAAAUGACACCAUCAAUGCCUCUAAACCUAAAGGAGUCCAGUCACUUAGCUUUCUGGUUGUUCUGGUGAUUUUCAUUGAUUAAGAUAUUUUCCAGGUGUUUUGAGAUCAAGUCUUUCUACAGCCAUGUUUGAAAGUGAAAAUUAACUUUCAGGCUAUAUAGUCUUUCUUAUGGCAAACUUCAAGAAGUUUUAAGAAAUGCAUUUCUGGCCAAGUGCGGUGGCUCACGCCUGUAAUCUCAGCACUUUGGGUGGCCGAGGAGGGCAGAUCUCGAGGUCAGGAGUUCGAGACCAGCCUGGCCAACAUGGUGAAACCCCAUCUCUACUAAACAUACAAAAAUUAUCUGGGCGUGGUGGCGCACACCUGUAAUCCCAGCUACUCAGGAGGCUGAGGCAGGAAAACUGCUUGAACCCUGGAGGCGGAGGUUGCAGUGAGCUGAGAUUGCACCACUGGACUCCAGCCUGGGCGACAGAGUGAUACUCUGUAGAAAGAAAGGAAGAAAGGAAGGAAGGAAGGGAGGGAGGGAAGGAUACUCCAUUGAAAGAAGAAAGAAGGAAGGAAGGAAGGGAGGGAGGGAGGGAGGAAUGCAUGGAAAUGCAUUUCUGCAUUUCCAGCAUGCAGAGAUGUCCAGCAUGCAGAACAGCAAGAGCAACUUGAGGUAUUCUCAAGAAACUGGCAGAGAAGAGAGAGAACCUAGCUGUAGAAAGGGAAAGAAGGAAUGGAGGGCUUCCUGGAGGAGGUGGCAUUUGAGCCAGGACUGACAUCAGGAUGGAAAUGUCAGGCAGGGAGUUGGGUAGGGGGAGCAGCUCUGCCCUCCAGGUCCCCAACUCCUCCUAUCCCUACUGUUUCUCUGCCUGAGGGACCCUCCCCCUGAUGAGAUUCUGCUCCUCCCUGAGACGUGAAAUGUCUCCCCCUCCUCCUCCAGCCGCCAGCAGAAAGGGCUGCUUUCCCUUCAGCGUGCGCCCCUCCCUAAUGAUCACUCAGCCACCCUGAGCAGUGAGUCUCAUUCUUUUCAGUAAAUCCUCUCGCUGCGUGGUGAGAAAACUGAUGCCUGGAGUCUGUGACCUGCCUAGGACCACAGAACUCGGUAGUAGGAAAAAUCGUAUU
Molecule: long non-coding RNA, 4314 nt
Filed under: Homo sapiens (human)
Lineage: Eukaryota; Metazoa; Chordata; Mammalia; Primates; Hominidae
Description: HSALNT0105075
Source: RNAcentral